GGUCUGUUCGCCUGGUUGGUUAACUGGCAUCCCGACUUGUCGGGAGCGGAUGAGUUCGAUCCUCAUACAGACUACCA
Molecule: transfer RNA, 77 nt
Filed under: Niastella koreensis GR20-10
Lineage: Bacteria; Pseudomonadati; Bacteroidota; Chitinophagia; Chitinophagales; Chitinophagaceae
Description: tRNA-OTHER
Source: RNAcentral